Molecule: ribosomal RNA, 253 nt
Filed under: uncultured bacterium
Lineage: Bacteria
Description: partial 16S ribosomal RNA
Rfam family: Bacterial small subunit ribosomal RNA
Source: RNAcentral
UACGUAGGGUGCGAGCGUUAAUCGGAAUUACUGGGCGUAAAGCGUGCGUAGGCGGUUCCUCAAGUCCGUUGUGAAAGCCCCGGGCUCAACCUGGGAAUGGCAGUGGAAACUAGGGGACUGGAAUCUGGCAGAGGGGGGUGGAAUGCCGCGUGUAGCGGUGGAAUGCGCAGAUAUCAGGAGGAACACCGGUGGCGAAGGCGGGUCUCUGGGCAGUAACUGACGCUGAGGAGCGAAAGCGUGGGGAGCGAACAGG